Molecule: long non-coding RNA, 244 nt
Filed under: Mytilus galloprovincialis (Mediterranean mussel)
Lineage: Eukaryota; Metazoa; Mollusca; Bivalvia; Mytilida; Mytilidae
Source: RNAcentral
CUAAGUGUGGUUAUAUUUGGCCUGCUAGUUUGAUUUAUUAAGAGACGAUGGACGACGAUAAACGACGGACGAUGGACGCCAAGUGAUGAGAAAUGCUGACUUUUAGGUCAGGUGAGCUAAAAUAGGUAUUUUUUUGACAUGAAAGACACAUGUACUGAGGUAAGUAAACCUUAUUAAAGUGCAUCUUGUAUGUCAUGUCGUAGAUCUAGACCAAAAGUGAUUUAAUUACAAUGUUCGAUAGGAA